Molecule: ribosomal RNA, 1206 nt
Filed under: Triticum aestivum (bread wheat)
Lineage: Eukaryota; Viridiplantae; Streptophyta; Magnoliopsida; Poales; Poaceae
Description: partial small subunit ribosomal RNA
Source: RNAcentral
AUGGACAUCGCCGGAGACGCCGGGGGCGGCCGGAGGCCCAACUUCCCCUUGCAGCUCCUCGAGAAGAAGGAGGAGCAACCGUGCUCCAGCUCGGCUGCGGGGGGCACCUCGGCGGGCGGCGGGAAUGGAGCAGCCACUGGCGGUGCCGCCGGAGGGGAGAUGCAGGUGCGGAAGGUGGUGCCCAAGCGGACGUCGACCAAGGACCGGCACACCAAGGUGGAGGGCCGGGGACGGCGCAUCCGGAUGCCUGCGCUGUGCGCGGCGAGGGUGUUCCAGCUAACCCGGGAGCUGGGGCACAAGACGGACGGCGAGACCAUCGAGUGGCUGCUGCAGCAGGCGGAGCCGGCGGUGAUCGCGGCCACCGGCACCGGCACCAUCCCGGCCAACUUCACCUCCCUCAACAUCUCCCUCCGCUCAUCUGGCUCCUCGCUCUCCAUCCCGGCCCACCUCCGCGGGGCCUUGCCGAGCCCCGGCGUAAGGUUCGGCUCCCGUGCCGACGCGUGGGACCGGGUUGUCGGACUCGGGUACCCGCCCGAAGGCCCCGCCUCGUCUUCGUCGACGCCGUCGCCGCUGUUGCUCAACUUCCACUCGGGCAGCGUCGGUCUUGACGUGCAGCCCUCGCCGUCAGCCGCUGCCGCUGCCGCAGCCGCCGACCUUUCGAGGAAGCGGCGAUGGGAGCAAGAAAUGCAGCAGCAGCAACAACAACACCAGCAGCAGCAACAGCAACAACAGUACCAGCAGCAGAUGGCGGGGUACACGCAGAGCCAAAUGCCAGGCACCGUCUGGAUGGUGCCAAGCAACAACGCGCAGGGCAGCGGGGCGCCUUCCGGCGGCGGAAACGGCGGCGGUGGAGGAGGAAGUGGUGAGUCGAUCUGGACUUUCCCGCAGGUGGGCAGCGCCGGCGCCGCGGCUGCCGUGUAUCGUGGGAGCGUGCCAAGCGGGCUACAUUUCAUGAACUUCCCUGCACCGAUGGCGCUGCUACCCGGCCAGCAGCUGGGGCUCGGCCCAGUGGGAGCCAGCGGCGGUGGCGGAGGCGAGGGGCAGAUGGGGAUCCUCGCCGCGCUGAACGCGUACCGGACACAGGCGGCGGAAGCAGCGGCGGGGCAAGGAGGCGGCGGCGGAGGAGGAUCGUCUAGCCAGCAGCAACACGGAGGUGGUGGUGGCGGCGGCGAGCGGCAUGAGAGCAUGAGCACCAGCGAGUCGUAG